This 85-nucleotide transfer RNA is filed under the name Felis catus (domestic cat). It matches the Rfam family "tRNA". From Rfam's summary of the family: Transfer RNA (tRNA) molecules are approximately 80 nucleotides in length. Their secondary structure includes four short double-helical elements and three loops (D, anti-codon, and T loops). Lineage: Eukaryota; Metazoa; Chordata; Mammalia; Carnivora; Felidae. The record is from Rfam by way of RNAcentral.
GCCUGGGUGGCUCAGUCGGUUGAGCAUCUGACUUUGGCUCAGGUCAUGAGCUCACAGUUCAUGGGUUCAAGCCCCGCAUCGGGCU